Molecule: long non-coding RNA, 704 nt
Organism: Seriola aureovittata
Lineage: Eukaryota; Metazoa; Chordata; Actinopteri; Carangiformes; Carangidae
Exons: 4
Source: RefSeq, a predicted model, not a curated record
CGGAAGGAGGGAGAAAUAGGAAGAGCGCUGCGAAUCAAGACGCUGGACAGUCUGCAAAGACUUUGGAUGACAGUAUUCAUAACUUGGAAUACUUUUAUGAGAAACCCUUUUGAUUUUUGUUGAUUGGAGACUUCCGGACUAAAGGAAUAUAAAUAAUGGAGGAACAGACAAACAGGCCACAGAGCAGUGGACAUUACGGCGCCAAAGGCGUGUAGAGCAGGACAGUGGGAUCUUCAGCAGACACUGAGAUGGUGUGCCAGACUGCAGAUAAAGACAGCCGGGCCUGUAGCAAUGCCUCAAAACAGGGGAGAUCCCACAGCAAAAACAACGGGCUUAAUGGUGAAACACAAAUCUGCGUUGAUCACCAAGAUGCAGCAGCCGGAAGAUAUUACCUUUCCAGCCAUCGUUUAGAAACAGUCGAGACCCAGCCACUCCCCUCUGCCUGGUUUUCUCCAGCCUGCUGGCUCCUCCGCCCCUACACACGCCUGUUCCCAUUUACUUAUCAUCAUCCCCUCUGUGUAUAUAUCUCACCGUUUCCACUCACCGGCGUGUGGAUUGUCUUUCUGCUCAUUGCCAAGCUCUCCUGAUCUUAGUUUGCGUACCUGCCUAAUUCCUGUUCCUGACUGUCCGUUUGCCUGCGUAACUACAGUUCUGCCUGCUUGCCUGCCUACUUUCUUUGCCUUGUUUUGCAGACUCCAGUAAAG